GAGACAGACCGUAUCGCAUUGUGGGGAUUCGAGAUCGUUCGCUUGUCAUAUGGAGCAGAUAGUAAGUAAUUUCUAAUUAGUAUAUUUUAACUCUCUAAUUAUUUAAAAAAAAUUAAUUAAUUAUUCUCAAAUUACAGAAAGAUGCAGAGAGUGGCGAGCUUCCUGGUAGGAUCGAUAUCUACCAGUAGACCCACCAGCGAC
RNAcentral lists this long non-coding RNA (201 nucleotides) under Elaeis guineensis (African oil palm). RNAcentral describes it as "long non-coding RNA (EGUI_LNC076120)". Lineage: Eukaryota; Viridiplantae; Streptophyta; Magnoliopsida; Arecales; Arecaceae. The record is from RNAcentral.